RNAcentral lists this long non-coding RNA (360 nucleotides) under Mytilus galloprovincialis (Mediterranean mussel). Lineage: Eukaryota; Metazoa; Mollusca; Bivalvia; Mytilida; Mytilidae. The record is from RNAcentral.
GGGUACUGCUGAAUGUGGAAAUCGUAAUUGUUCAGGAGAAGAUCCUAGAAUGAAAAAAUGUUGAGAGAGUGUCCAGAAAAAAAAAGGUGGUCGAGGUUAGCUGUCCUUCUGUACGGGCUUGCCUAAAAUGUGGUCUAACAAUUGAACACAUGGAAGCCUACAAGCAAAUGGAAUGUCCAUGUGGACAGAAAUUUUGUUUUAUUUGCCUGAAAAUGGCUACUGAAAGAGGAUAAUACACCUGUGGAGCCUGGAACUUUAAAUGUGUUAAGGCGCCAGUGCAGACUCAGCUUCAUUGAUUACCAAUGUGAUAGAUGUACAAAAGUCAGGUGAUUCCAGUUCAAUUUAUCAAAAAAUGUUUUG